This is a long non-coding RNA of Acinonyx jubatus (cheetah), 3568 nucleotides long. RefSeq lists it as uncharacterized. The transcript has 4 exons. The record is from RefSeq and is a predicted model, not a curated record. NCBI's taxonomy places the organism in Eukaryota, Metazoa, Chordata, Mammalia, Carnivora, Felidae.
GGCGGGGCCGGAGAGGGGACUGGCUGCCGGGAGUCCCGAAGGGCCGCACGGGCCAGCUCACCACGGAGCAGAGUGGACACGUCAGGCACACACGUCGGGGCCGCACGGCCGCCUGACUCCCUGAAUCACCUGCCGGGUCUGGGACAUCAGACAGGGACAGUGCACGUGACCAUUCACACGACAAAUAUCCUCCAACGGCUUCCUGAGGGCCAGGUACCGAUGUAGCUUCUGGAAAAUCCUCAUGUCUUGGAGUGCUCGUUCCAGUGAGGCAGACACACAAUAAACACCAUGGCCACGGAAUGGGCUGUGCAGCAUGUGACCUUUGACCUUCUGGCGUUUGAGCCUGCCAGCGUCCGACAAAUAGACCCAUCUCCACACGGUUAUCAGGGCGGCUCAAGUCCGAGUCAGGCUGAGUCACCCCUCCAGGCCCUCCGCUAAGGCCUUCUGCGGGACCAGUCCGGGCUUCAUUGGGGAGCUGCUGAAGGGUAAGUACUGGAACCCUCCGUGUGGGAGGAGAUGCCGGGGGAAGCGUGCGGUCCCCACGCCUGCCGGUGGCUCAGUCCUUUUCCCUCCGGGCCCUGGAGGACACUGGCACCAGACCUGCCUGAGGGCCCCGCCCACCUGCCCCCAGCCCGGGAGACCCUCCCUGUCCCCCCCAGCCCCUGCCAGCCACCAGCCUGCUUUCUGUCUCUGGACUUGCCCAGUCCCGACAUUUCACGCAAAAGGAAUCCUACAAGGCGCGGCCUUUGGGAUCUGGCUUCUCACUUCCCAGGAUGCUUUCCAGGUUCAUCCACACGGCGUCACGUGUCAGUGCCUCCCUUUAAAAUGAACUUCAUGGGGUGUAACUCAUAUCCAUGAUUUAAAAAAAAUUAAUGUUUAUUUUUGAGAGAAGAGAGAGUGAGCAGGGGAGGGGCCAAGAGAGAGGGAGAGAGAGAACCCUAACCAGGCUCCACACUGUCAGCCCAGAGCCCCACGUGGGCUCCCACCGACUGUGAGAUCAUGACCUGAGCCACAGUGGGAUGCUUAGCCGACUGAGCUACCCAGGGGCGCCUCCUUCGCGGUGAAAUGCUAACAUCGCAGUGCGUUUUAAGCCAUGUGUCCAGCACGACCUCAGUCACCACAGGACACGUCCGUCCCCCCGAGACCCAGGGAUCCCUCUGCCCCAGAGCGGGGAUCCGGUCUCGUGAUCGCGGUGACCGAGCCCCACCAGUGGACGCUGACGUCCGUCGGGGUCUCUGUGUCCAGCUGCCUGUACUGUGCAUGGAGAGUUUUAAGGCUCAUCCACACGGGUGCUGGACUCGGUCUAGACCCUCGGGUUGUUGAGAAUUUUCCCGCAAUUUGUUUUUCCUUCUCUUGCUGAUGGACGUUCGUUUCCAGCUCUGGGCUGUUAGCUGCAGUGCAACCUUUCCCAUGCAGGACUUGGGGAUAGGAUUUCUGGGUUGUUGGGGAAGUUCAUGUUUUGAGUUAUAAAGCUACCAGAAUUCUCUGCCUGGAGGGACACAGGUGUAGCCCUUCCCUCUGGGCCCGGGGCUGGAGGGGGCUGGCCGGCCAGGCCAGGGCGGGAGAGCCGGGAGCCUCCUUGGAAGCCCUCAGGCUGUCACCUUCCCACCUGUAGGGGUCCAAGAGGUGUAGUCCCACCCCACCCCCUCCCAGCGUUUCAGAACCAACACCACCUCCAGAGCAAAGGCAGGGGUGGGGUUGGGGGACAUCCUUCCUUUGCUUAAACAAAGUCUGAAGGCCUGAGGUCUAACCUGUGCCCUGAGAAGCUUUGCCUACGUUCCCCCGGAGGAAGUCAAAGUCCUAUCCAGAAUGAGCUCUGACUUCAGUAGCGCUUCCCGAGGGCAGGAGUCGGCUUGGGACCCGGGGGCAGGGAGGUGCCCUGUCGUUCUGGAGGACUCUUCUAGAAGAAGCUGGCUCCUCUCCAUUGCUCUACCUAAUUCUCUUUGGGACCUCUCCCACUUUCCAAGGAGGUAACUGAAACGCCCAGCGCCUGGAGGGGACCCACCUCAUCCCUCUCUGCUACCCAGAGCCAGGUGGUGAGGGGGUGGUCAGGGUGGGGGAGGACGCUGCCCCCAGGCCCACCUCCCCCGCCGGCAAAGUGUCAGCCAGGUCUGAGGAGCAGGGAGCCUUGUGGGCAGGGCGGCAGGGACAGGAGUUGAGUGGAACUCCUGGUAACGACAGUAGUGUGCCCUCUCACUGUCCUACCGCAGUGUCAUUUACUAGGCCCAUCCGAGGACCGCUUAGCAAUUCUAGGCGAGGGUCGGCACACAGCUUCCCCAGAGGGCCGGGUGGCAAAUACGGCUUUGCCACUGCACAGACCAUUGCAGUAGCCCUGCAGGUGCGGCCCGAAGCAGCCGCGCACAGUAAACAGGCUGGGCUGUGUCUCAAUAAGGUGAGGACCUCAAACCACCCGAACGGGUCAGAGGACCUGGACGGACGUCUUUCCAGAGAAGACAAACGAACGCCCAGCACUCGCACAAGAAGAUGCUCAUCUUUAGGGAAAUGCAAAUCAACACCGGGGCGAGGAACCACUUCACGCCCACUUGGGUGUCUAUUUUUAAGAACUCAAAAAAUAACAAGUAUUGGUGAGGAUGGGGGGCGAGGGGAGCCCCCGUGCACGCGCAGCGGGAGUGCAAACUGGGGCCACUGCUGAGGGAAACAGUACGGAGGCUCCUCAAAGGAGUGAAAAUAGAAAUACCCUGUGAUCCAACCCUGCCAUUUGUGUGGACGUGCCCCACAGAGUUGAAAGCAGGAUGUUGAGAUAUUUGUAAAUCCCUUGUUCACAGCAGCCUUAUUCACAACAGCUAAAAUGUGGAAGAAACCCCAGGGUCCAUCGACGUAUGAAUGGACAACGGACGGUCAGAAUGUGGUCUAUCCCCAUAACGCAAUACUAUUCAGCCUUGGAAAAAGAAAGAAAUUCUGGGACACCUGGCUAGUUCAAUCCCCACAUGAGGCACAGAAAUUAUUUAAAAGAAAAAAAAAAAAGGAGGGGCACCUGGGUGGCUCAGUCGGUUAAGCAUCUGACUUUGGCUCAGGUCAUGAUCUCACAGUUUGUGGGUUCCAGCCCCGUGUCGGGUCCUGUGCUGACAGCUCGGAGCCCGGAGCCUGAUUCGGAUUCUGCGUCUCCCUCUCUCUCUGAUCUUCCCCCGCUCGCACUCUGUCUCUCUCAAAAAUACAUAAAACCUUUCAAAAAAACCCUUUUUUUAAAAAAAGGAAAUUCUGACACCCGCGACUACACGGACGAACCUGGAAGACACGACGCGAAGGGAAAGGAGCCGUCAUAAAAGACAAACACCGCGUGACUCCCCUUCCGUGAGGGCCUAGAGCAGACAGAGGGUAGAAGUGGGCGCCGGGGGCUGGGGUCAGUGUGGGGUGGGACAGAGCGUCAGGCCGGGAGGACGAGAAAGUGCUGGGGGCUGACGGUGGCCGCAGGGCGGUGCGGGUGUAGUUGGUGCCCCUGAACUAGACACUUGAAAAUGGCUAAGAUGGUAAAUUUGCAAGUUAUGUUUGUUUCCUGUUUUUAAUGUUUACUUACUUAUUUUUGAGAGAGAGAGAGAGAGAGAGAGAG